UUGGUUUGUCUUAAGUCAGACUUGUUCAAUUUUAGUCAAGUUUAUAGAAAAAAUAUAACAAUAUUUAUACUAUCAAAUAUAUACAAUAUCAAUAUAUUUCAUGGUGAAUUCGAUGCAACAAAUUUGAUAUUGUAGAUGUUGUUAUAUUUUUCUAUAAACUUGGACAAAGUUAAAAAAAAUUGACUUAGGAUAAACCAAA
Molecule: microRNA precursor, 199 nt
Filed under: Dichanthelium oligosanthes
Lineage: Eukaryota; Viridiplantae; Streptophyta; Magnoliopsida; Poales; Poaceae
Description: MIR1435 microRNA precursor family
Rfam family: MIR1435 microRNA precursor family
Source: Rfam by way of RNAcentral